GACGAACCGUGCGAACGUUGUUCGGACUCACUGGGCUUAAAGGGCGCGUAGGCGGUUCGUCAAGUCAGGGGUGAAAUCUUUCGGCUCAACCGGAAAAGUGCCCCUGAUACUGGUGAUCUCGAGGGAGGUAGGGGCCUGCGGAACUUCUGGUGGAGCGGUGAAAUGCGUUGAUAUCAGAAGGAACGACGGUGGCGAAAGCGGCGGGCUGGAGCUUUUCUGGCGCUGAGGCGCGAAAGCCAGGGGAGCACACGGG
RNAcentral lists this ribosomal RNA (253 nucleotides) under uncultured bacterium. Its description in RNAcentral is "partial 16S ribosomal RNA". It matches the Rfam family "Bacterial small subunit ribosomal RNA", at positions 524 to 776 of the family's 1533-position model. The record is from RNAcentral.